RNAcentral lists this ribosomal RNA (261 nucleotides) under uncultured bacterium. RNAcentral's name for it is "partial 16S ribosomal RNA". It matches the Rfam family "Bacterial small subunit ribosomal RNA", at positions 15 to 273 of the family's 1533-position model. The record is from RNAcentral.
GAUCAUGGCUCAGGACGAACGCUGGCGGCGUGCUUAACACAUGCAAGUCGAACGGAAAGGCCCUGCUUUUGUGGGGUGCUCGAGUGGCGAACGGGUGAGUAACACGUGAGUAACCUGCCCUUGACUUUGGGAUAACUUCAGGAAACUGGGGGCUAAUACCGGAUAGGAGCUCCUGCUGCAUGGUGGGGGUUGGAAAGUUUCGGCGGUUGGGGAUGGACUCGCGGCUUAUCAGCUUGUUGGUGGGGUAGUGGCUUACCAAGG